AAACCAACAGGGAUUGCCCCAGUAACGGCGAGUGAAGCGGCAACAGCUCAAAUUUGAAAUCUGGCCUCCUCCGGGGGCCCGAGUUGUAAUUUGCAGAGGAUGCUUCUGGCGCGGCGCCUUCCGAGUUCCCUGGAACGGGACGCCAUAGAGGGUGAGAGCCCCGUCUGGUUGGACGCCUAGCCUCUGUGAAGCACCUUCGACGAGUCGAGUAGUUUGGGAAUGCUGCUCAAAAUGGGAGGUAUAUGUCUUCUAAAGCUAAAUACCGGCCAGAGACCGAUAGCGCACAAGUAGAGUGAUCGAAAGAUGAAAAGCACUUUGAAAAGAGGGUUAAACAGUACGUGAAAUUGUUGAAAGGGAAGCGCUCAUGACCAGACUUGGGCCCCGCGCAUCACCCGGCGUUCUCGCCGGGGCACUUCGCAGGGCCCAGGCCAGCAUCAGUUCGUGGCGGGGGACAAAGGCUUCGGGAACGUGGCUCCCUCGGGAGUGUUAUAGCCCGCUGCGCAAUGCCCUGCCGCGGACUGAGGUUCGCGCUUCCGCAAGGAUGCUGGCGUAAUGGUCAUCAGCGAC
RNAcentral lists this ribosomal RNA (567 nucleotides) under Perennicordyceps cuboidea. RNAcentral describes it as "eukaryotic LSU rRNA". It matches the Rfam family "Eukaryotic large subunit ribosomal RNA", at positions 62 to 648 of the family's 3401-position model. The record is from RNAcentral. Lineage: Eukaryota; Fungi; Ascomycota; Sordariomycetes; Hypocreales; Polycephalomycetaceae. RNAcentral also lists the same sequence under 1 other name.